GCCCGCUCAGAAACGUACAAAGGAAGUUGAGGGGCCCCGGCACAAGCGGAGGAGCAUGUGGUUUAAUUCGAUGAUACGCGAGGAACCUUACCUGGGCUCGAACGUAAGAUGACUGUAGGUGAAAGCUUACAUCUCUUCGGAGCAUUUUACGAGGUGCUGCAUGGUUGUCGUCAGCUCGUGCCGUGAGGUGUCGGGUUAAGUCCCAUAACGAGCGCAACCCCUACCUUUAGUUGCCAUCAGGUUAAGCUGGGGACUCUAAAGGAACUGCCUACGCAAGUAGUGAGGAAGGCGGGGAUGACGUCAAAUCAGCACGGCCCUUACGUCCAGGGCUACACACGUGCUACAAUGGCCGAUACAGAGGGCAGCUACCUGGUGACAGGGUGCAAAUCUCCAAAGUCGGUCUCAGUUCGGAUCGGAGUCUGCAACCCGACUCCGUGAAGUUGGAUUCGCUAGUAAUCGCGCAUCAGCCAUGGCGCGGUGAAUACGUUCCCGGGCCUU
RNAcentral lists this ribosomal RNA (498 nucleotides) under uncultured Sphingobacteriales bacterium. RNAcentral describes it as "bacterial SSU rRNA". It matches the Rfam family "Bacterial small subunit ribosomal RNA", at positions 903 to 1382 of the family's 1533-position model. Lineage: Bacteria; Pseudomonadati; Bacteroidota; Sphingobacteriia; Sphingobacteriales. The record is from RNAcentral.